CCCCUAGAUGUUCUGGGCCGCACGCGCGCUACACUGAACAGUUCAACAAGUCUUAACCUUGGCCGAUAGGUCUGGGUAAUCUUUGAACGCUGUUCGUGAUUGGGAUAGACCUUUGCAAUUAUGGGUCUUCAACGAGGAAUUCCUAGUAAACGCAAGUCAUCAGCUUGCAUUGAUUACGUCCCUGCCCUUUGUACACACCGCCCGUCGCACCUACCGAUUGAAUGGUCCGGUGAAUCUUUAGGACUGUGGCUGAGGCCUUGCCUUGUGCGGGUCUGGCCGUGGGAAUUUAGUUAAACCUUACCAUUUAGAGGAAGGUGAANUCGUAACA
Molecule: ribosomal RNA, 328 nt
Filed under: uncultured eukaryote
Lineage: Eukaryota
Description: partial 18S ribosomal RNA
Rfam family: Eukaryotic small subunit ribosomal RNA
Source: RNAcentral